GGGGCCGAUUAGGAUUCGACGCCGGUAACAAAACUCUAGGGGCAUGCCGAGUGGGUAACAGCACUCGUAAAUCCACUGUUACAUACUUGAUAGUUGCCAAACUUGCCAACUACGGUGCUCCUGCAAUGAACGAUUCCUCCUUCAAGGAAAAGAUCUACGCCUAAGCACUUCUGGCUGCCUCGGCGCCAGCAAUCACCAGGGGAUUUCUGUAAACCCGACCUGAUUGUCAUAUAGAACAGAAUCGCCGCGUAGUGUGCUGUGGACGUAACGGCUAAAUAUUACACAGCUCGCCCUUAGCACCCUGCCCCUCGGGCGGCGACGGGUUAACUUAAUUGAACGGGCUAAGCAUGUAGAACCGACAGCGGAGUACUGGCGGACGGGGGUUCAAAUCCCCCCGGCUCCACCA
Molecule: transfer-messenger RNA, 406 nt
Filed under: Pseudomonas migulae
Lineage: Bacteria; Pseudomonadati; Pseudomonadota; Gammaproteobacteria; Pseudomonadales; Pseudomonadaceae
Also listed under: 1 other name
Rfam family: transfer-messenger RNA
About the family: Bacterial tmRNA, also known as 10Sa RNA or SsrA, is named for its dual tRNA and mRNA-like properties. Its role is to liberate the mRNA from a stalled ribosome.
Source: RNAcentral